CCUACGGGAGGCAGCAGUAAGGAAUAUUGGACAAUGGGCGAAAGCCUGAUCCAGCCAUGCCGCGUGAAGGAUUAAGGCCCUCUGGGUUGUAAACUUCUUUUAUAGGGGACGAAAAAAGGGAAUUCUUUCCCUCCUGACGGUACCCUAUGAAUAAGCACCGGCUAACUCCGUGCCAGCAGCCGCGGUAAUACGGAGGGUGCAAGCGUUAUCCGGAUUCACUGGGUUUAAAGGGUGCGUAGGCGGGUAGGUAAGUCAGUGGUGAAAUCUCGAAGCUUAACUUCGAAACUGCCAUUGAUACUAUUUAUCUUGAAUAUUGUGGAGGUUUGCGGAAUAUGUCAUGUAGCGGUGAAAUGCUUAGAUAUGACAUAGAACACCUAUUGCGAAGGCAGCAGGCUACGCAUAUAUUGACGCUGAGGCACGAAAGCGUGGGGAUCAAACAGGAUUAGAUACCCUGGUAGUCACGCCCUAAACGAUGAUUACUCGACAUUUGUGAUACACUAUAAGUGUNUGAGAGAAGANAUUAAGUAAUACCACCUAGGAAGGUAACGACCGACGAAGUAGAACGUACAAGAAGUAGUAGACGNGNGAGAGCGACGACGACGACGAGGAGGAGGAGG
Molecule: ribosomal RNA, 617 nt
Filed under: uncultured bacterium
Lineage: Bacteria
Description: bacterial SSU rRNA
Rfam family: Bacterial small subunit ribosomal RNA (bases 1-535)
Source: RNAcentral